ACUUAACUGAUGGUGGGCCUGCGGGGAGUGGGCUAGGGGCGGGGAGGUGGGGUGGGGGGCUUUUGCAUUUGGGGUUUUACCUUGCUGUUCUUUAAUUGCUCGGAGGGUCAGAAGCAGAGCUCCAAGGCCUCUGAACCUGGCAACAGAUUCAGGAGGACAGGGUCUCUCGUCCGAAGCUGAGAACAGAGGCAGCGAGACAUCAAAGAACCAGGAUCUCUGUAUAGACAAAGGCCGGUUGGCUUGAUGUGAGAGGUCACGGUGAAGCUGCAAACACCAGCAGAGGUGACCUCCGAGUGGAAGCAGAGGGCUUUGACCCUCGGCAGUGCGGGGGCCGCUCAGAGCUGGAGUUGGGGGAGCUUUAACUUGAUCCAAAAGGGAGGCAGACAGCUCAGCGUGUUAGCAGGAAGUGUCGGGGGCGUCAGGGGGAUGUACUUGGAGGCCUGACCUAGUCCGGGGGUCAUGAAACGGUUCGUCUAGGAAGCCAUGUUUGGCAUGAGCCGCUGAAGGAGGCGUAGGAAUUGUCUAGGCAACAGCAGGGACUGGAAAGAUACCAGGUACAGGGAACAGCAUGUAUGAACGUCUGAGACAGAGACCAGAAGGCGAGCCGAUGGGGUUGGAGCAAAUCCACUGGAAAAAGGCGCAGGAUGAGGACACGAGGAUGUCAGAGAAGUUGCUCGUGGAGGUUGCCAGGGAGGAGGACAAGAGAUGCCUGGGGUUUGGGGAACGGUAGAGACGUCUCGGCUAAGCCUUCAUCUCCAGAGGCCCCUGGGCACGCGGCUCCCAGGAAUGUGUGUGGAAGAAAGAAUCACCCUCAGAAUUAGAAAAAGAACCUGGAUCUCGUUCUCCGCUCUGCCACUUACUGGCCGUGUGACCCGACUAAGGCAGCUCUCAGACCCAAGUGUCCUCAUCUACAAAGUGGCUGUGGUGUUUGAAUGAGACGGCAUAUGGCCAAGGAUUUGUACACGAGUAUGUGAGCGAAAUCUGUGCCCAACGGAGACAAGCGUUUCUCCACUUCUCCGCCUCUCCAUAGGCUUUUGGUUUUUCCCUCUGGUUUAAGGAUAUUAAAUCACUGGCACCUUUUACGGUAAGCUGUCUUCUUUAGAAGUUGGUGACACGUGGCUACCAACUUUGUUUGAGAACCUGGUAACACGCGUUUUCCCUUGGCUGGCACCGAUGCCCCCUUCGUCUACUGUGCACCCCAAGUUGACGAUGUCCGUUUCCUUGCUAUUUUGUUCAUUACUCUCUUUUGCUAAAUGGAUGUGAUUUGCCCUUCUCUUUCCCAGCGUAGGGGAGAUGCUUAUCUCUAACUGGGUGGCUGCCUUGAACCUUCACGGAAAGUGGGACCCCCCACGUCCCAUUCCCAAGACAUCCAUUGUUAGUUCUCGCGUAGACUAUGAACACAGACACAGGCACGUAUGGUUUCGCCACCUUUUAAAUACAAAUCGACGCCAUAGUAUCUAGUACUCUGAACCUUGCUUUUUUAUUUCACAAUGUAUCUUCGAGAUCACUUUGUAUCAGUGCACAGAGAGACUCUUGACUCUCUUUCUUUGGUUGAGUAAUAGGACGUUGUGAAUUGUUAAAGGAGUUGGAGUUUUACAGGGGACUGGACAUAUUUCAAUAACGGAACCUUGAAAAAUCUACCCAAGUUGGCCUCAAGGGAGAGUAAAGGGAGAUGAUAUAUAGGCCAGCUGCAAACAAUGAUUUUGGGGGGGACGUUACGUUUACACCCCGUGAGACUUCUCCGUGGACCCCCUUCCAGCCACCGUGCAUUCUAGGGGCAGGGUGGAU
Molecule: long non-coding RNA, 1788 nt
Filed under: Felis catus (domestic cat)
Lineage: Eukaryota; Metazoa; Chordata; Mammalia; Carnivora; Felidae
Description: lncRNA (ENSFCAG00000043279.2)
Source: RNAcentral